GACGAAGGGGGCUAGCGUUGUUCGGAAUUACUGGGCGUAAAGGGCUCGUAGGUGGCCAACUAAGUCGGACGUGAAAUCCCUCGGCUUAACCGGGGAACUGCGUCUGAUACUGGAUGGCUUGAGUUCGGGAGAGGGAUGCGGAAUUCCAGGUGUAGCGGUGAAAUGCGUAGAUAUCUGGAGGAACACCGGUGGCGAAGGCGGCAUCCUGGACCGACACUGACGCUGAGGAGCGAAAGCCAGGGGAGCAAACGGG
Molecule: ribosomal RNA, 253 nt
Filed under: uncultured bacterium
Lineage: Bacteria
Description: partial 16S ribosomal RNA
Rfam family: Bacterial small subunit ribosomal RNA
Source: RNAcentral